ACUAAGAUGGCCGAAACUUUAAGCAGUAAAUUGUAAAUUUAUUUAUGAAUAUAUAUUCUCUUAGUA
Molecule: transfer RNA, 66 nt
Filed under: Sahlbergotettix salicicola
Lineage: Eukaryota; Metazoa; Arthropoda; Insecta; Hemiptera; Cicadellidae
Description: tRNA-Tyr
Source: RNAcentral